UGGGGAAUAUUGCACAAUGGGCGCAAGCCUGAUGCAGCCAUGCCGCGUGUAUGAAGAAGGCCUUCGGGUUGUAAAGUACUUUCAGCGGGGAGGAAGGGAGUAAAGUUAAUACCUUUGCUCAUUGACGUUACCCGCAGAAGAAGCACCGGCUAACUCCGUGCCAGCAGCCGCGGUAAUACGGAGGGUGCAAGCGUUAAUCGGAAUUACUGGGCGUAAAGCGCACGCAGGCGGUUUGUUAAGUCAGAUGUGAAAUCCCCGGGCUCAACCUGGGAACUGCAGCUGAUACUGGCAAGCUUGAGUCUCGUAGAGGGGGGUAGAAUUCCAGGUGUAGCGGUGAAAUGCGUAGAGAUCUGGAGGAAUACCGGUGGCGCAGGCGGCCCCCUGGACGAAGACUGACGCUCAGGUGCGAAAGCGUGGGGAGCAAACAGG
This 429-nucleotide ribosomal RNA is filed under the name Chloroflexota bacterium. RNAcentral describes it as "Chloroflexi bacterium partial 16S ribosomal RNA". It matches the Rfam family "Bacterial small subunit ribosomal RNA", at positions 355 to 776 of the family's 1533-position model. Lineage: Bacteria; Bacillati; Chloroflexota. The record is from RNAcentral.